AACUCAAGCUAAUAGACCUCGGCGUAAAGAGUGUUUAAAUUUAUAAUUCUAAUAAAGCGGACUCGUAACUAAGUUGUAAAAAACCCCAGUUAUGGUAAAAUACUCUACGAAAGUGGCUUUAGCACCCUGAACACACUAUAGCUAAGAUACAAACUGGGAUUAGAUACCCCACUAUGCUUAGCCCUAAACCCCAAUAGUUCUACCAACAAAACUAUUCGCCGGAACACUACAAGCAACAGCUUGAAAUUCAAAGGACCUGGCGGUGCUUUAUAUCCUUCUAGAGGAGCCUGUUCUAUAAUCGAUAAACCCCGAUAAACCUUACCACCUCUUGCCCU
Molecule: ribosomal RNA, 335 nt
Filed under: Chiropotes chiropotes (Red-backed bearded saki)
Lineage: Eukaryota; Metazoa; Chordata; Mammalia; Primates; Pitheciidae
Description: partial 12S ribosomal RNA
Rfam family: Bacterial small subunit ribosomal RNA
Source: RNAcentral